UACAGAGGGUGCAAGCGUUAUUCGGAAUUAUUGGGCGUAAAGCGCGCGUAGGCGGUUUGGUAAGUCUGAUGUGAAAUCCCCGGACUCAAUUCGGGAAGUGCAUUGGAUACUGCUAGACUGGAGUAUGGGAGAGGAGAGCGGAAUUCCAGGUGUAGAGGUGAAAUUCGUAGAUAUCUGGAGGAACAACAGAGGCGAAGGCGGCUCUCUGGACCAUUACUGACGCUGAGGCGCGAAAGCGUGGGGAGCAAACAGG
RNAcentral lists this ribosomal RNA (253 nucleotides) under uncultured bacterium. RNAcentral's name for it is "partial 16S ribosomal RNA". It matches the Rfam family "Bacterial small subunit ribosomal RNA", at positions 524 to 776 of the family's 1533-position model. The record is from RNAcentral.